Molecule: ribosomal RNA, 468 nt
Filed under: uncultured bacterium
Lineage: Bacteria
Description: partial 16S ribosomal RNA
Rfam family: Bacterial small subunit ribosomal RNA
Source: RNAcentral
GACGAACGCUGGCGGCGUGCUUAACACAUGCAAGUCGAACGGAAAGGCCCUGCUUUUGUGGGGUGCUCGAGUGGCGCACGGGUGUGUAACACGUGAGUAACCUGCGUUUGACUUUGGGAUAACUUCAGGAAACUGGGGCUAAUACAGGAUAGGAGCUCCUGCUGCAUGGUGGGGGUUGGGAAGUUUCGGCGGAUGGGGAUGGACUCGCGGGUUAUCAGCUUGUUGGGGGGGUAGUGGCUUACCAAGGCUUAGGUGGGUAGCCGGCCUGAGAGGGUAACCGGCCACAAUGGUACUAAGAGACGGCCCAGACGCCUACGUGAGACAGCAGUCGAGAGUAUUGCACAGUGAUCGGAAGCCUGAGACGACAACCCCGCGAGCGGAAUAACGGCCUACUGGGGAGAAACCGCUUUCGCCUGAGACGAAGCGUGAGUGACGGUAAUGGGUAAAGAAGCACCGGCUAACUACGUG